AUUGAACGCUGGCGGCAGGCCUAACACAUGCAAGUCGAACGGAGUGGCGAACGGGUGAGUAAUGUAUCGGAACGUGCCCAGUCGCGGGGGAUAACUACGCGAAAGCGUAGCUAAUACCGCAUACUAUUGGAGCGGCCGAUGUCGGAUUAGCUAGUUGGUGGGGUAACGGCUCAGCAAGGCGACGAUCCGUAGCCGGUUUGAGAGGACGACCAGCCACACUGGGACUGAGGCACGGCCCAGAGUCCUACGGGAGGCAGCAGUGGGGAAUUUUGGGCAAUGGGAGAAAGCCUGAUCCAGCCAUGCCGCGUGGGCGAUGAAGGCCUUCGGGUUGUAAAGCACUUUUGGCAGGAAAGCGGUACCUGCAGAAUAAGCACCGGCUAACUACGUGCCAGCAGCCGCGGUAAUUC
This 407-nucleotide ribosomal RNA is filed under the name uncultured bacterium. RNAcentral describes it as "partial 16S ribosomal RNA". It matches the Rfam family "Bacterial small subunit ribosomal RNA", at positions 30 to 526 of the family's 1533-position model. The record is from RNAcentral.